CUUCCAUGAGCUCUUCUGCAGCUUUGCUUUCUUUGGUCUGCAGAAGAUCCUCAGGAACGGGAACGUCGGGAACGCAGGGAGAGGAUGGAACGGGAGACCAAUGGAAAUGAGGAUGAGGAAGGGCGGCAGAAGAUCCGGGAAGAGAAGGAUAAGAGCAAGGAACUGCAUGCCAUUAAGGUGCAGGCCUUGGCUCCAUCUUCACUUCUCUCCCACACAAAAAUGAGGUUUAGUUAUUUGGCCAUUGUGAUCUCUGCAUGUGAGAAUUGGGCCUCAAAGCUCAUGUGCUUUGUGUUCUGUCCCUGGGCAGGAGCGUUACCUGGGUGGCAUCAAAAAGCGGCGCCGAACGAGACAUCUCAAUGACCGAAAAUUUGUUUUUGAGUGGGAUGCAUCUGAGGACACAUCCAUUGACUACAACCCCCUGUACAAAGAGCGGCACCAGGUGCAGUUGUUAGGGCGAGGCUUCAUUGCAGGCAUUGACCUCAAGCAGCAGAAACGAGAGCAGUCACGUUUCUAUGGAGACCUAAUGGAGAAGAGGCGAACCCUGGAAGAAAAGGAGCAGGAGGAGGCAAGACUCCGCAAACUUCGUA
This 587-nucleotide small RNA is filed under the name Pan troglodytes (chimpanzee). RNAcentral describes it as "retained intron". Lineage: Eukaryota; Metazoa; Chordata; Mammalia; Primates; Hominidae. The record is from RNAcentral.